Lepisosteus oculatus (spotted gar) is the source of this 1210-nucleotide long non-coding RNA. RefSeq lists it as uncharacterized. The record is from RefSeq and is a predicted model, not a curated record. Lineage: Eukaryota; Metazoa; Chordata; Actinopteri; Semionotiformes; Lepisosteidae.
UUGGACAGAGGCCGAACCUUUCUUGUCUGAAACAUAUAAAUGAACUGUUUUGGAACAUUUUAGCUAAAGGAAACGUUAGGAGUGACUCUAAGCAGAAGACAUCUCACGCUUCAAAGGACAGAAAACAGCAAUCUGACAGUAUCUUGAUUUUCCAGGUGUCAGACUCCUGCUACUGAACAACCUUCCAUCCAGCACAGUACAGUUUUGGCAGAAAGACAAUAUGGGAGCUGGAGCAUCUUCAACUUCAUCUGCAUCUUUAGUUCAUGCUGGUGGAAAUGUCACAAUUAACCUACGAUCUGCAAGACCAUGCUCCAAACUCCAUGUGGCAAAUGCAACUGGGAAGCCACUUCGUAUAUUUUAUGGAGUGGAGAAGAAGGAGCUUGAAGAAAUGGUGCUACACGACGGUGGAGAGUCCAGCACCAAGAAGGUCUUUAAGUCUGAUCUCAAGGACCAAUACAUUCAACUCGACAUCAACACACUCUUACCGUUUCCUGAGAAAGGCGUCGACUAUGCCUGUGUGUUCGUGGAAGAUGAGCAUGACAGAAAUACUUGCCUGGAAACCGUGGUGCUCAACUACAGUGUCACUCCUGGAAAAUCUUUCAUUAUAGCAGCUGACCACAGCAUCAAGAUCCACAAGUUAGGAGCAGGCCCCUGGGUGGAUGAAGAAGGGCAUGACCACUCUACAAAGUAGAUUUACAGCAACACCUGGUUAUUUUCUAUAUCAAAUCGAUCAAAAUGGAGAAUCAAUCUUUCAAGAAAUAUAAUUGAUAGUAUUCUUUGCUUAACUAGCACAUUUGUCUGCAAAAUUAUAGUUUCUUUGUAAACAUUAUCAUAGACAUCCUCACUUAAACACUGAGCGUAUGCUGCAGACUCUUCAUUGUUUGUUAUUUAGAAUUCCUUGUAGUACUACUAAUAAUACAAUGUACAGUACACAUAUUUUUCCUUCACAUUUCCAAGUCUAUGUUGCUUAAAGCUGUCAAUUAAUAAAAACCGUGAGAUUUGAAAUACAAUUGCCUAUAAAUACUAUUGAUACACAUUAUUCAUAUACAGUUUAGACAGCUAGCCACAGUGUCCCCAGAUGUAUUCAACCCCAUUGAUGAAAGAAAUUUAAAAAACAUCAGUAGAAAUGAAACAGGUUUGCAGAUAGUUCGACAUGUUUAAACUAUUCUAAAAGGUUAUUCUGUAAUCAUAAUAAAAUUGCACAGAACAA